AACGAGUUAUCUGCACUAGCGAGGUUAAGUGGAAGACACGGAGCCGCAGCGAAAGCGAGUCUUAAGAGGGCGCUAGUUAGUGUAGGUAGACCCGAAACCGCAGUGAUCUACCCAUGUCCAGGUUGAAGCGCAGGUAAAAUUGCGUGGAGGACCGAACCGGUGAGCGUUGAAAAGCUUUCGGAUGAGAUGUGGGUAGGGGUGAAAUUCCAAUCGAACGCGGAGAUAGCUGGUUCUCCCCGAAAUAGCUUUAGGGCUAGCCUGAGGUAGUAAGUAUAGGCGGUAGAGCACUGAUCGGGCUAGGGGCCGUAAAGGUUACCGAACCCUGUCAAACUCCGAAUGGAUAUACUGUAGAGCCUUGGAGUCAGACUACGAGUGAUAAGAUCCGUGGUCAAAAGGGAAACAGCCCAGACCACCAGCUAAGGUCCCCAAUGUCGUACUAAGUGGAAAAGGAUGUGGGGUUUCAUAAACAACCAGGAUGUUGGCUCAGAAGCAGCCACCAUUUAAAGAGUGCGUAAUAGCUCACUGGUCGAGAGACCCUGCGCCGAAGAUUCCCGGGGCUAAAGUACGAAACCGAAGCUGUGGCUGUAUACGUAAAGUAUACGGGGUAGGGGAGCGUUCCCAUAGGGUAGAAGUCGAACUGGAAGGUUCGGUGGACUUGUGGGAAGUGAGAAUGUUGGUAUGAGUAGCGAAAAGAAAGGUGAGAAUCCUUUCCACCGAAAGCAUAAGGAUUCCUGAGCAACGAUCGUCGUCUCAGGGUAAGUCGGGACCUAAUCCGAGGCAGAGAGCGUAGGAGAUGGACAACUGGUUGAUAUUCCAGUACCGGUAGUAAUUGUUUGAGCAAUGGAGUGACACAGAAGGGCAGGCAAGCAUGCGAAUGGAAGAGCAUGUGUAAGCGUGUAGGGUGGUGCAUAGGCAAAUCCGUGCACUGAAAGCCUGAGGCGUGAUGCGGAGUGAGCAGAGAUGCGAGCGAAGUUGUUGACCCCACACUGUCGAGAAAAGCUUCUAGUGAGAGAGCUACCGCCCGUACCGUAAACCGACACAGGUAUGCGGGGAGAGAAUCCUAAGGUGCGCGGGAGAACCCUCGUUAAGGAACUCGGCAAAAUGUACCCGUAACUUCGGGAUAAGGGUAGCCACUGUUGUGAAGUCCCAUGCGGAUGGAGCAUAGAGUGGUCGCAGAGAAGAGGCCCAAGCGACUGUUUACCAUAAACACAGGUGCCUGCUAAAGCGAAAGCUGACGUAUAGGUGCUGACACCUGCCCAGUGCCGGAAGGUUAAGGAAGGAUGUUCGGAUUAGUCCAAAGCAUUCGACUGAAGCCCCGGUGAACGGCGGCCGUAACUAUAACGGUCCUAAGGUAGCGAAAUUCCUUGUCGGGUAAGUUCCGACCCGCACGAAAGGUGUAACGAUUUGGGCACUGUCUCAACGAGGGACCCGGUGAAAUUGAAAUACCUGUGAAGAUGCAGGUUACCCGCGACUGGACAGAAAGACCCCAUGGAGCUUUACUGUAACCUGACAUUGGGUUUUGAUACAUUACGUACAGGAUAGGUGGGAGGCAUGGAAAGCUGGACGCUAGUCUGGCUGGAGCCGACGUUGGGAUACCACCCUUGAUGUAUUGAAAUUCUAACCGCGAGAGUAACGAAAUCCGGGACAGUGUCAGGCGGGCAGUUUGACUGGGGCGGUCGCCUCCGAAAGAGUAACGGAGGCGCCCAAAGGUUCCCUCAGCGCGGCCGGAAAUCGCGCGAAGAGUGUAAAGGCAGAAGGGAGCUUGACUGCGAGUCAAACACGACGAGCAGGUACGAAAGUAGGGCUUAGUGAUCCGGUGGUACCGAGUGGAAGGGCCAUCGCUCAACGGAUAAAAGCUACCCUGGGGAUAACAGGCUAAUCUCUCCCAAGAGUUCAUAUCGACGGGGAGGUUUGGCACCUCGAUGUCGGCUCAUCACAUCCUGGGGCUGAAGUCGGUCCCAAGGGUUGGGCUGUUCGCCCAUUAAAGUGGUACGUGAGCUGGGUUCAGAACGUCGUGAGACAGUUCGGUCCCUAUCCAUCGCGGGCGCAAGAGAUUUGAAGGGGGCUGCUCCUAGUACGAGAGGACCGGAGUGGACGAACCGCUGGUGUACCAAUUAUCCCGCCAGGGGUACAGUUGGGUAGCUACGUUCGGAAAGGAUAAACGCUGAAAGCAUCUAAGCGUGAAACCAGCCUUAAGAUGAGAUCUCUCAUAGAGCAAUCUAGUAAGACACCUUAAAGAAGAUGAGGUUGAUAGGUCGGGAGUGUAAGUACAGCAAUGUAUUGAGCGGACCGAUACUAAUAUGUCGAGGGCUUGACUUA
RNAcentral lists this ribosomal RNA (2319 nucleotides) under human gut metagenome. RNAcentral describes it as "bacterial LSU rRNA". It matches the Rfam family "Bacterial large subunit ribosomal RNA", at positions 622 to 2925 of the family's 2925-position model. The record is from RNAcentral.